UUAAGCGACUAAGCGUACACGGUGGAUGCCCUGGCAGUCAGAGGCGAUGAAGGACGUGCUAAUCUGCGAAAAGCGUCGGUAAGGUGAUAUGAACCGUUAUAACCGGCGAUGUCCGAAUGGGGAAACCCAGUGCAAUUCGUUGCACUAUCGUUAACUGAAUACAUAGGUUAACGAGGCGAACCGGGGGAACUGAAACAUCUAAGUACCCCGAGGAAAAGAAAUCAACCGAGAUUCCCCCAGUAGCGGCGAGCGAACGGGGAGCAGCCCAGAGUCUGAAUCAGCUUGUGUGUUAGUGGAACGGUCUGGAAAGUCCGACGGUACAGGGUGAUAGUCCCGUACACCAAAAUGCACAGGCUGUGAACUCGAAGAGUAGGGCGGGACACGUGGUAUCCUGUCUGAAUAUGGGGGGACCAUCCUCCAAGGCUAAAUACUCCUGACUGACCGAUAGUGAACCAGUACCGUGAGGGAAAGGCGAAAAGAACCCCGGCGAGGGGAGUGAAAAAGAACCUGAAACCGUGUACGUACAAGCAGUGGGAGCACCUUCGGGUGUGACUGCGUACCUUUUGUAUAAUGGGUCAGCGACUUAUAUUCUGUAGCAAGGUUAACCGUAUAGGGGAGCCGCAGGGAAACCGAGUCUUAACUGGGCGUUAAGUUGCAGGGUAUAGACCCGAAACCCGGUGAUCUAGCCAUGGGCAGGUUGAAGGUUGGGUAACACUAACUGGAGGACCGAACCGACUAAUGUUGAAAAAUUAGCGGAUGACUUGUGGCUGGGGGUGAAAGGCCAAUCAAACCGGGAGAUAGCUGGUUCUCCCCGAAAGCUAUUUAGGUAGCGCCUCGUGAAUUCAUCUUCGGGGGUAGAGCACUGUUUCGGCUAGGGGGUCAUCCCGACUUACCAACCCGAUGCAAACUACGAAUACCGAAGAAUGUUAUCACGGGAGACACACGGCGGGUGCUAACGUCCGUCGUGAAGAGGGAAACAACCCAGACCGCCAGCUAAGGUCCCAAAGUCAUGGUUAAGUGGGAAACGAUGUGGGAAGGCACAGACAGCCAGGAUGUUGGCUUAGAAGCAGCCAUCAUUUAAAGAAAGCGUAAUAGCUCACUGAUCGAGUCGGCCUGCGCGGAAGAUGUAACGGGGCUAAACCAUGCACCGAAGCUGCGGCAGCGACACUAUGUGUUGUUGGGUAGGGGAGCGUUCUGUAAGCCUGCGAAGGUGACCUGUGAGGGUUGCUGGAGGUAUCAGAAGUGCGAAUGCUGACAUAAGUAACGAUAAAGCGGGUGAAAAGCCCGCUCGCCGGAAGACCAAGGGUUCCUGUCCAACGUUAAUCGGGGCAGGGUGAGUCGACCCCUAAGGCGAGGCCGAAAGGCGUAGUCGAUGGGAAACAGGUUAAUAUUCCUGUACUUGGUGUUACUGCGAAGGGGGGACGGAGAAGGCUAUGUUAGCCGGGCGACGGUUGUCCCGGUUUAAGCAUGUAGGCUGGUUAUCCAGGCAAAUCCGGAUAAUCAAGGCUGAGGUGUGAUGACGAGGCACUACGGUGCUGAAGUAACAAAUGCCCUGCUUCCAGGAAAAGCCUCUAAGCAUCAGGUAACAUUAAAUCGUACCCCAAACCGACACAGGUGGUCAGGUAGAGAAUACCAAGGCGCUUGAGAGAACUCGGGUGAAGGAACUAGGCAAAAUGGUGCCGUAACUUCGGGAGAAGGCACGCUGGUGUGUAGGUGAAGUCCCUGCGGAUGGAGCUGAGACCAGUCGAAGAUACCAGCUGGCUGCAACUGUUUAUUAAAAACACAGCACUGGUGCAAACACGAAAGUGGACGUAUACGGUGUGACGCCUGCCCGGUGCCGGAAGGUUAAUUGAUGGGGUUAUCCGUAAGGAGAAGCUCUUGAUCGAAGCCCCGGUAAACGGCGGCCGUAACUAUAACGGUCCUAAGGUAGCGAAAUUCCUUGUCGGGUAAGUUCCGACCUGCACGAAUGGCGUAAUGAUGGCCAGGCUGUCUCCACCCGAGACUCAGUGAAAUUGAACUCGCUGUGAAGAUGCAGUGUACCCGCGGCAAGACGGAAAGACCCCGUGAACCUUUACUAUAGCUUGACACUGAACAUUGAGCCUUGAUGUGUAGGAUAGGUGGGAGGCUUUGAAGCGUGGACGCCAGUCUGCGUGGAGCCAACCUUGAAAUACCACCCUUUAAUGUUUGAUGUUCUAACGUUGGCCCCUGACCGGGGUUGCGGACAGUGUCUGGUGGGGUAGUUUGACUGGGGCGGUCUCCUCCCAAAGCGUAACGGAGGAGCACGAAGGUUAGCUAAUCCUGGUCGGACAUCAGGAGGUUAGUGCAAUGGCAUAAGCUAGCUUGACUGCGAGCGUGACGGCGCGAGCAGGUGCGAAAGCAGGUCAUAGUGAUCCGGUGGUUCUGAAUGGAAGGGCCAUCGCUCAACGGAUAAAAGGUACUCCGGGGAUAACAGGCUGAUACCGCCCAAGAGUUCAUAUCGACGGCGGUGUUUGGCACCUCGAUGUCGGCUCAUCACAUCCUGGGGCUGAAGUAGGUCCAAGGGUAUGGCUGUUCGCCAUUUAAAGUGGUACGCGAGCUGGGUUUAGAACGUCGUGAGACAGUUCGGUCCCUAUCUGCCGUGGGCGCUGGAGAAUUGAGGGGGGCUGCUCCUAGUACGAGAGGACCGGAGUGGACGCAUCACUGGUGUUCGGGUUGUCAUGCCAAUGGCACUGCCCGGUAGCUAAAUGCGGAAGAGAUAAGUGCUGAAAGCAUCUAAGCACGAAACUUGCCCCGAGAUGAGUUCUCCCUGAGACUUUAAGUCUCCUGAAGGAACGUUAAAGACGAUGACGUUGAUAGGCCGGGUGUGUAAGCGCAGCGAUGCGUUGAGCUAACCGGUACUAAUGAACCGUGAGGCUUAACCUU
RNAcentral lists this ribosomal RNA (2901 nucleotides) under Serratia liquefaciens. RNAcentral describes it as "23S ribosomal RNA". It matches the Rfam family "Bacterial large subunit ribosomal RNA". Lineage: Bacteria; Pseudomonadati; Pseudomonadota; Gammaproteobacteria; Enterobacterales; Yersiniaceae. The record is from RNAcentral.